UUUCCCCAGCUCUGUCCUGCGCUUCACACUCCCAAGACUGCCUUGACCUUAAUCUCGUUAAGGCCUUCUUGACAUCAGCCAGUUCCCUGUGUGCCCAGUUCUUUUCCCUGCCCCGCCAUGGCUGUCUUCAACCUGGCAGAGGAGGAAGGCAGGUACCUGAUCCCUGAGCCCAGCUCUCAUCUGUUGCUGGAGUCACCCCACAGAGCCCACCUCAUUGUCUCUGGGAGACCCUGCAGAGAUCACACAUUUCCUCAUUUCUCAGAACAAACCAGUGAAUUGGAAAAUCAUACCCAUUUUUAAACCAGGAUCACUCAGUACUGGAGUUGUGAAUCAAACCCAUGUGACUCCAAAGCUACACAGAGAAAAACCCUGUCUCAAAAAAAUAAAAAUCAUGAUUCAUGAUCUGGCCAAACAUAGCUGGUGCCAAUGGCUCUGCCAGGUUCCUUAUCUUGGGGGGUAUGAGCCCGACAGAAACGGAGAGUACCUGGGCACUUCACGGUGCCUCUGCCUCCUCGUAGGCAUGAUGAGUAUGUGCCACCCAGCCUCAGAAGGGGCCAAGUGGACUCCACACUGAGCAGUUCCGGUCCUAUGUAAAGGACUGACUGCUGGGGCUUCCUGAGUCUUCAAUGAUACCUCUGCAUACCCCCAGCUGCCAUCUUGUCACCCCCUGUCCCAUCCCCAGUACGUCCUGUAAUAAAAUUAGAGCGUCUAAGGAAACUUGGUGCUUUUCCUUUGAGCAGGAUGUUUGGUUUCAUCCUUCUGAGGUCUGACUGCUGCCCUAUUGGGAGAUGGGCAAGGAUGGACAUUUGAGCUGGACUGUCUUUGGAGCCUUGUCUGUCAGCAGAGGGCUUGAGUGACAUGCCUAAGGUGAGUUUGUAAUAGAAUGAUCAAAUAUACCAAAGAAUCUGAUAUUUGGUGUGGAGAGUAGUCCUAAAGUUAAAUCUCUUGUCUUAGAAGCAGAGCCCAUGACAGGCAUUAGGUAGUUACAGGAGGAAAGGCACCUGGAUAACAGUGCUUGUUACCAAGACAACCUGAGUUCAGUCCCCGAAUCCCACGUGGUGGAGAGAGCCAAUUCCUAGUUAUCUUUUGCUCUCCACAUGGGCACCACAGCUCACACACAUGGUGGGGAGGGUGUAGGGAGAAGGAAGACCUGUAAAAAGAAGGCUUGAGUCAGAAGAGGGCAAGGAGAAAAAUGUAGCACCAGAGUGUCAACCAAUGCCUAGCCAUCUGCAGAGAAGGGCUCUAGAACACAAACCAGCCUUUUGUACUGGAAUCACUUUGACUAGUGUGGUGAGAUAAAGCCAGUUUCCAGAUUAGGGAUUGAUUAUAAUCAUUAUAUGGGGACCAGUGCAAAAUGAAGUGCAAGAAAAAUGUAAGACACAUUUAGUCAGGUGCUAGGCAGUGGCUUUGUCACUGAUAGACUGUGCAACAGUCAUAUCCUACAAAAUCAAAGGCGCUGAGAAACUCGUGGUGUCAAGAACUUGAAUGGUGCUCCAUCUGUGUUUAGAUGUAAAUGUUUACAAUUGUGAUACAACUGCUCUGGGAUUCAGCACCAGUAGCAGCUAUGCAAGUUUGCAGCCUGGAGCAAUAGGCUACACCAAUUCCUCUAGGUGUGUAGUACACUACAUUAAGUAGGUGUGUGUAAGUACACUCUAUCUAUAAUGUUUGCGUAACUCGGUCACCUAAGGACACAUUCCUCAGAGAGUACCCUUUCUUCAGCAGUGCAUAACUGUAAUUUCAAGGGGACAACAAUAGAGAAAUAAAGCAUGCAUGGGCGUAGUAAGGCAGGUCUGGGCGUAGUGCCCGUUGUGACUGCAUCGGGCUGUCCACCCACGAAGCCAACAGAUUUGUCCCUGGCAGAUGGGGAUUGCAGGCUUUGGGACCAAGGCAGUGCAACUGUGAGUCAGGCAAAGCCAUGUACUGAGGGCAGAAAAUGAAGUGUGUCCCGUUAACUGGAUGCCAUGGAGACCGGCAGCGUGAGCUUGUGAGCUUGGAAGGAGUCUCCGGCGUCAUCAAUCCACCCAUCUAAUCCAUAAACUGAAUUAUGCAGCACACGUGUGUUUGUGUGCGAGACACGGGCUUUUAAAUAGAAGGAAUCCACUCCGAAGCACUGCAGGGUAUGCGUCAAAGGCGAAAGCGUCCAUUUUUGCUGGGGGCCGUUUGUCAGGGAACCAAGCAACGGGCCUGAGGGUCGACUAGACAAGCAUGGCAGAAAUGCCGAGACGAG
Molecule: long non-coding RNA, 2227 nt
Filed under: Cricetulus griseus (Chinese hamster)
Lineage: Eukaryota; Metazoa; Chordata; Mammalia; Rodentia; Cricetidae
Description: lncRNA (ENSCGRG00015039166.1)
Source: RNAcentral